GGUCCCGUAGUGUAGCGGUUAUCACGUCGCUCUGUCACGGCGAAGAUCGCGGGUUCGAUUCCCGUCGGGACCG
Molecule: transfer RNA, 73 nt
Filed under: Streptococcus pyogenes
Lineage: Bacteria; Bacillati; Bacillota; Bacilli; Lactobacillales; Streptococcaceae
Description: tRNA-Asp(gtc)
Rfam family: tRNA
About the family: Transfer RNA (tRNA) molecules are approximately 80 nucleotides in length.
Source: RNAcentral